UACGUAGGGGGCGAGCGUUGUCCGGAAUUACUGGGCGUAAAGAGCUCGUAGGUGGUUUGUCGCGUUGUUCGUGAAAACUCACAGCUUAACUGUGGGCGUGCGGGCGAUACGGGCAGACUGGAGUACUGCAGGGGAGACUGGAAUUCCUGGUGUAGCGGUGGAAUGCGCAGAUAUCAGGAGGAACACCGGUGGCGAAGGCGGGUCUCUGGGCAGUAACUGACGCUGAGGAGCGAAAGCGUGGGGAGCGAACAGG
Molecule: ribosomal RNA, 253 nt
Filed under: uncultured bacterium
Lineage: Bacteria
Description: partial 16S ribosomal RNA
Rfam family: Bacterial small subunit ribosomal RNA
Source: RNAcentral